UCCCUGAUGGUCCAGUAGCUAAGACUCUGAGUUCUAAAUGCAGGGGUCCAGGUUCAAUCCCCAGUCAGGGAA
This 72-nucleotide transfer RNA is filed under the name Bos taurus (domestic cattle). It matches the Rfam family "tRNA". Rfam says of the family: Transfer RNA (tRNA) molecules are approximately 80 nucleotides in length. Lineage: Eukaryota; Metazoa; Chordata; Mammalia; Artiodactyla; Bovidae. The record is from Rfam by way of RNAcentral.